CCAAUAGCGUAUAUUAAAGUUGUUGCAGUUAAAAAGCUCGUAGUUGAAUUUCGGGGUUUAUCCGUUGGUCGGGCUUUUUGGUCUGUACUGGCGUGAUGGAUUCCUACCUUCUGAAUAACCAGCAUGUCAUUAAUUUGGUGUGCUGGGGAAGCAGGACUGUUACCUUGAACAAAUUAGAGUGCUUAAAGCAGGCUAUCGCCUGAAUACAUUAGCAUGGAAUAAUGAAAUAGGACGGCAUGGUUCUAUUUUGUUGGUUUCUAGGAUCACCGUAAUGAUUAAUAGGGAUAGUUGGGGGCAUUAGUAUUCAAUUGUCAGAGGUGAAAUUCUUGGAUUUAUUGAAGACUAACUUCUGCGAAAGCAUUUGCCAAGGAUGUUUUCAUUAAUCAAGGACGAAAGUUAGGGGAUCGAAGACGAUCAGAUACCGUCGUAGUCUUAACCAUAAACUAUGCCGACUAGGGAUCGGACGAUGUUAAUUUUUUAAUGACUCGUUCGGCGCCUUACG
This 502-nucleotide ribosomal RNA is filed under the name uncultured Glomeromycotina. Its description in RNAcentral is "partial small subunit ribosomal RNA". It matches the Rfam family "Eukaryotic small subunit ribosomal RNA", at positions 591 to 1092 of the family's 1831-position model. The record is from RNAcentral. Lineage: Eukaryota; Fungi; Glomeromycota.